Non-coding RNA from Mycena rosella, 89 nucleotides. NCBI's taxonomy places the organism in Eukaryota, Fungi, Basidiomycota, Agaricomycetes, Agaricales, Mycenaceae. The record is from the annotation of a GenBank genome assembly.
GACUCAGUAGCGGAUGGUUCCGCACCCGCACCCUGUUACAUCGGUCACAUUUUCUACGGGGUUUCCUGGUUCGACUCCAGGCUGGGUCA